GUGGCAGCCGCCGCGGUAAUACGUAGGGUGCGAGCGUUAAUCGGAAUUACUGGGCGUAAAGCGUGCGCAGGCGGUUUGUUAAGAUAGGCGUGAAAUCCCCGGGCUCAACCUGGGAACUGCGUUUAUGACUGGCAGGCUAGAGUAUGGCAGAGGGGGGUGGAAUUCCACGUGUAGCAGGGAAAUGCGGAGAGAUGUGGAGGAACACCGAGGGCGAAGGCGGCCCCCGGGGCCGAUACUGACGAUCAUGCACGAAAGCGUGGGUAGCAAACAGGAUAAGAUACCCGGGUAGGCCACGCCCUAA
RNAcentral lists this ribosomal RNA (301 nucleotides) under uncultured bacterium. Its description in RNAcentral is "bacterial SSU rRNA". It matches the Rfam family "Bacterial small subunit ribosomal RNA", at positions 505 to 805 of the family's 1533-position model. The record is from RNAcentral.